GCAGGCGGUAGCCAGAGCUGCGCGCCGCGGCGGCGGAAGAUGGCUGCGGCCGAGGUGGCGGACACUCAGCUGAUGCUUGGAGUCGGGCUGAUCGUGACCAUCUUUCCACCGUAGAAAAGGACACAAAUGGAGAAGUUCUGUGGGUGUGGUGUUAUCCUUCCACGACAGCCACAUUAAGGAACCUGCUGCUGAGAAAAUGCUGCCUUACAGAUGAAAACAAACUUCUCCAUCCCUUUGUCUUUGGUCAGUACAGAAGAACAUGGUUUUAUAUCACAACAAUUGAAGUUCCAGAUUCUUCCAUUUUGAAAAAGGUGACUCAUUUUUCUAUUGUCCUGACCGCCAAAGAUUUUAACCCAGAGAAGUAUGCUGCCUUCACUAGGAUAUUGUGUAGAAUGUACCUGAAACAUGGGAGCCCAGUUAAAAUGAUGGAGAGUUAUAUUGCAGUUCUCACAAAGGGGAUAUGCCAGAGUGAAGAAAACGGCUCUUUCCUUAGUAAGGAUUUUGAUGCCCGAAAGGCCUACCUGGCUGGCUCCAUCAAAGACAUUGUAUCUCAGUUUGGAAUGGAAACUGUUAUCUUACACACAGCACUGAUGCUAAAGAAAAGAAUUGUGGUGUAUCACCCCAAGAUAGAAGCAGUCCAGGAGUUCACCAGGACUCUGCCUGCCCUGGUGUGGCACCGACAGGACUGGACCAUCCUUCACUCUUACGUGCACCUCAACGCCGAUGAGCUGGAAGCCCUGCAGAUGUGCACAGGUUACGUCGCUGGAUUUGUAGACUUGGAGGUGAGCAACAGACCAGACCUCUAUGAUGUGUUUGUGAAUCUGGCAGAGAGUGAGAUUACCAUUGCUCCC
This 851-nucleotide small RNA is filed under the name Pan troglodytes (chimpanzee). RNAcentral describes it as "processed transcript". The record is from RNAcentral. Lineage: Eukaryota; Metazoa; Chordata; Mammalia; Primates; Hominidae.